CUCUAUGAUUAUAUGAACUCUUUAAAAGAGUUAUUGAAAAUCAAAGCUGAUAUUAUAUAUCCAGGACAUGGCCCAGUAAUUCAUAAUGCUGAAGCUAAAAUUCAACAAUACAUUUCUCACAGAAAUAUUCGAGAGCAGCAAAUUCUUACAUUAUUUCGUGAGAAUUUUGAGAAAUCAUUUACAGUAAUGGAGCUUGUAAAAAUUAUUUACAAGGUAAUUUUCAGUUUUCUUAUUUGUAUGUAGCCACAAAUUUAUUAGAAUUAUCUAUUUAGUAGACUAUAGAAAUGAUAAACUUAUAUCCCAGAUCAGAAGUUAUGCCACUUUUCUAGAUUUGAGACCAGCAGCCUAAACUUUCUACAGUGCUAAAAUUAAACAAAAACUGGCCUUAGAGAACAAAGAUAGCCAUUUCGAGCCAUCAUUGAACUUUAUAUACUUAACUAUGUAGGAGAAACUGCCUAUGUAGGAGAAACUAUCAACAGCCUGAUGAUUACAUUUUGUAAUAAUUUUUGCAUUAUUCUAGCCAUCUUGAUUAUCUUGU
RNAcentral lists this small RNA (538 nucleotides) under Pan troglodytes (chimpanzee). RNAcentral describes it as "retained intron". The record is from RNAcentral. Lineage: Eukaryota; Metazoa; Chordata; Mammalia; Primates; Hominidae.